Molecule: non-coding RNA, 122 nt
Filed under: Attheya septentrionalis
Lineage: Eukaryota; Bacillariophyta; Biddulphiophyceae; Attheyales; Attheyaceae
Source: RNAcentral
CCUGCAAAAAUACUUUGAUGAAGGGUUGCGAUACAAAAAGAUAUCUUUGAAACGAAUGUCACGUAUUCUUUCACUCACAGUUUUUUCUCUUUUUACAUAAUAUAUCUCGUCUCUCUAUUUCC